RNAcentral lists this long non-coding RNA (1620 nucleotides) under Sus scrofa (pig). Its description in RNAcentral is "lncRNA (ENSSSCG00060062033.1)". Lineage: Eukaryota; Metazoa; Chordata; Mammalia; Artiodactyla; Suidae. The record is from RNAcentral.
UUUUUUUUUUUUUUUUUUAACCGAACUCAAGACCUGGGGAAGAAUGUGAAAGUUUCAGCAAAUUGAAAAUGAGGCUCAGGCCCCUCCUCCUUCCUUUGAUGCCCCCUCUCAGGAGCCAAGCUGCACCUCUACAUGGCUGUUUGGUGCAUCAGAUUACAAAGGAACCGCAAUGAGGAGAGAGAGAGAGAUCCUUGAGGGAAAAUCCACGCAGGACAAACAGAGUAUGUAACCAGGCUUCAGGAAUGGCUUUUUCUUCCUUUUACACUGGCUGGGGUUGUUUGCAAAAUCUGAUUUACCUUCUGCCAAGGACACAGAGACUGUAAAAUGAAAUCUAUGGGAAAGUGAGGCUCCUUGGUGUCUCAUCUCGACUUCAAGGCAAAAUCAAAGGCAGGAUGAGUUCCUGGCAAGCAGUGGGUUAAAGGCUUUAGAAUCAGACAGAUGUAGAAUUGAAUCCUCACUCCUCAACCUCUUAGUGCGCAAGUUUCUGCAACUGUAAAAAACAGGGAUAACAAUGUCCACUCUUCCAUCUGCCCAUCUAAAUGGAGCCCCAUUACCCACCUUCAGAUAAUGUGAUGGUCAUUAAGACUGUUCACCAAGCACGUUGGCUCUCCUGCUUUCUAGGCACACAAGAGGAUGGCACUUUACGGCCUUCUUUGAAAUUAGGUAAGGUCAUGUGACAGUUCUGGCCAAUGAAUUGUGAGCAGAGGUGACAUGUGUCACCUACAGGUAGAAGAUUUAAUUGCCAUUGUGAGACCAUCCAGGGCUCUCUUUUCCUCUGGCACAGUGACCGACGACAUAUGACACAGCACUCCCUCCAUCAGCCCAAGGGGCUGAGUGACUACAGUGAACAGUUUCCCUGCCAAUCUGUGAUGAACUUGUAACAUGAGCAAGAAAUAAAACUGUCAUGGGAGUUCCUGUUGUGGCUCAGUGGUUAAUGAAUCUGACUAGGAACCAUGAGGUUGCAGGUUCGAUCCCUGGCCUCACUCAGUGGGUUAAGGAUCCAGUCAUUGCUACUGCUGUGGCUCAGGUCACUGCUGUAGCAUGGGUUCAGUUCCUGGCCUGAGAACUUCCACAUGCCAUAGGCAUGGCCACCCCCACCCCCAAAAAAAAAGAAACCAAAACUAAUCUUCUUACAGACCCAUCUCCUCACCAACACAUCACAUCUUCUCCUUCAUGCCUCUGCUUCAGCUGGACUCAUAUCUUUGAAUGCCAUGUCUUCCACGAAUCUCUGGAAUCUCUCCUUCUGAAAAUCUUCUAAUUCCACCAUUUGGUGGAUACAUCCUGCCUUGAAGAGCACAGCAGAGAAAGAGCAAACUUUGGAGCAGGACAAUCCUUUCAAGUCCUAACUUUGCCUUUCCCUUGCUGAAAAGGUUACAGGUGUUGCUUUGGUUGAACACAUAUUAUAUACACGACACUGCAGAUCAUAUCAUACAAAUUUAAUUCUCACACUUGCCCUUCAAGAUCAAUUUUAGUAGUUCCAGCUGUGGCACAGCAGGUUAAAGGAUUCGGCAUUGCCACAGCUGCAGCAUAGGUCUCAGCUGUGGCUCAGAUUCAAUCCCUGGCCUAGGAACUUCCAUUAUGUGGUGGGUGCGGGCAUUUAAAAAAAAAAAAUCAACACAC